GACGAACGCUGGCGGCGCGCCUAACACAUGCAAGUCGAACGAGCGAGAGAGAGCUUGCUUUCUCGAGCGAGUGGCGAACGGGUGAGUAACGCGUGAGGAACCUGCCUCAAAGAGGGGGACAACAGUUGGGAACGACUGCUAAUACCGCAUAAGCCCACGACCCGGCAUCGGGUAGAGGGAAAAGGAGCAAUCCGCUGUGAGAUGGCCUCGCGUCCGAUUAGCUAGUUGGUGAGGUAACGGCCCACCAAGGCGACGAUCAGUAGCCGUACUGAGAGGUUGAACGGCCACAAUGGGGCUGAGACACGGCCCCGACUCCUACGCGAGGGAGCAGUGGGGAAUAUUGCACGAUGGGGGAAACCCUGAUGCAGCGACGCCGCGUAGAGGAGGAAGGUCUUCGGAUUGUAAACUCCUGUUGUAGGGGAAGAUAGUGACGGUACUCAACAAGGAAGUGACGGCUAACUACGUG
RNAcentral lists this ribosomal RNA (466 nucleotides) under uncultured bacterium. Its description in RNAcentral is "partial 16S ribosomal RNA". It matches the Rfam family "Bacterial small subunit ribosomal RNA", at positions 28 to 507 of the family's 1533-position model. The record is from RNAcentral.